This 498-nucleotide ribosomal RNA is filed under the name uncultured bacterium. Its description in RNAcentral is "bacterial SSU rRNA". It matches the Rfam family "Bacterial small subunit ribosomal RNA", at positions 28 to 521 of the family's 1533-position model. The record is from RNAcentral.
GAUGAACGCUAGCGGCAGGCUUAAUACAUGCAAGUCGAGGGGCAGCACGGGUAGCAAUACCUGGUGGCGACCGGCAAACGGGUGCGGAACACGUACGCAACUUUCCCAAAACUGGUGAAUAGCCCUCCGAAAGGAGGAUUAAUACACCGUAACAUAAUGAAGUGGCAUCACUUUAUUAUUAUAGCUCCGGCGGUUUUGGAUGGGCGUGCGCCUGAUUAGGUAGUUGGCGGGGUAACGGCCCACCAAGCCUUCGAUCAGUAACUGGUGUGAGAGCACGACCAGUCACACGGGCACUGAGACACGGGCCCGACUCCUACGGGAGGCAGCAGUAAGGAAUAUUGGUCAAUGGACGCAAGUCUGAACCAGCCAUGCCGCGUGAAGGAUGAAGGUCCUCUGGAUUGUAAACUUCUUUUAUCUGGGACGAAAAAAGGGAAUUCUUUCUCACUUGACGGUACCAGAGGAAUAAGCACCGGCUAACUCCGUGCCAGCAGCCGCGGU